AUUGAACGCUGGCGGCAUGCCUUACACAUGCAAGUCGAACGGUAGAGUAGCAAUACUUGAGAGUGGCGAACGGGUGAGUAAUAUAUCGGAACGUGCCCAACUGUGGGGGAUAACGUAGAGAAAUUUACGCUAAUACCGCAUACGAUCUAAGGAUGAAAGCGGGGGAUCGCAAGACCUCGCGCAGUUGGAGCGGCUGAUAUCAGAUUAGCUUGUUGGUGAGGUAAAAAGCUCACCAAGGCGACGAUCUGUAGCUGGUUUGAGAGAACGACCAGCCACACUGGGACUGAGACACGGCCCAGACUCCUACGGAGGCAGCAGUGGGGAAUUUUGGACAAUGGGCGAAAGCCUGAUCCAGCAAUGCCGCGUGCAGGAAGAA
RNAcentral lists this ribosomal RNA (376 nucleotides) under uncultured bacterium. RNAcentral describes it as "bacterial SSU rRNA". It matches the Rfam family "Bacterial small subunit ribosomal RNA", at positions 30 to 412 of the family's 1533-position model. The record is from RNAcentral.